AUGAAGAAUCUCGAUUGAGAUCUAUGAAUUUUUCUUGAGAUAUGAUGCAUUUUACAUGCAAUCUGUGGGGUGAGGUCGAUUUCGCUCAAGAUAGGAUGGAGAUUGGUUUACCUAAUGCAUGUGAAACCCCUAUCUCGUGUGGCAUCCUUGACAAUACUGCUUGAGUUCAAUAUUUUGGCGUUUCAAUGUGAUUUUCGACCAAGAUUGCCCCGAGAUUAACCCAUAAAAUACUUAUUUUGUUCAAAUUUUUAUGUUUUUCAAAUGCCUCUUGUGACCAAAAUCAAUUCAAAGGACUUCUUUCUUGCAAACUUGACCUAUUGUUCACAUUUAUUAAAGUCCGUGUCAUGUAUAAAAAAUAAGUUAACACCCAGACAACUUCACAUGUUUAGGAAACCCAUCUUUGGACACUUCUUGGAUGUGAAGUUGGUGUUCAGGGGACCUCUUUGAUAUUAUAUUAGAGAGAUCGAGGAGGGAUGAGAGAACACAAUUAGUUUUAAGUUAUUGGAUGAGAAUGUCUCAUUUGGUCAAGAGGAAUUUGAUAUAAUAAUGAGUUUGAGGUAUAGGCCCAAAUGUGAGGUCCAAUUUGAACAGAAUAAGGUUCUUCGAUUAAGAAGGCUAUAUUUUGGGGAUAGGACAAGCAUGAACGACUCUGAGUUUGAGAAGAAUUACCCAAUCCUUAAGUUUGAAAACGACGAGGAUAUAAUGAAAAUGUCAGUAAUUCUACAUUAUUGUGCUUGCGAUGAUUGGUUAGAGGAGGAGACGACACAUGGAUUAGACGAUGUUGGAUGUGAUUGACGACUGAGAGGACUUCAUCAGCUAUGACUGGGCUGAGAUGGUAUGGACCAAGACCUUUGCUAGUUUGAAAGGGGCACUUCAUGGAAAAGUAGCCAUGCACAAGAAGAAAACUGCUAAUAACAAAGUCCCCGAAGUCGUAUAGUCUCUAUAGAUUUUCUUUCGCAUUUUAGGUUUGGGCCUACCAGAUAGUGUCGUCAAUUAGUGGACGAGUUAUCCAUAGGUAGUCAUCAUCUACGAUACCACACAUCGUGCGGUGGAGUUACACACACUCAUCUUGGUUAAAGAUGAUUGAGUUCCAGAUUUUUGGGUCGCAAAUGGCCUGGAUACAUGAGAUUGAACCUACGAAGGACGAGCAUGCUAACCUUGAUUAGAGACUUGAAAUUCCUAUGAUGGAAGGUUAUGAGGAAAUCCCACAUGACCCUCCUCCUUAGCACUUUGAGGAUGUCCCACCACGCAUUGAUGUGGACCACCCCCUCCUCCUCUUCACGUGGACCAUCUCCCUUCUUUUUCUCACGUCAAUCAUCCCCCUCCUCUUCCUCCUGUCUAGAAUCCCCGAGCGAUGUGUAACUGCAACCAGCAUGUAUGUCACCUUCGAGCGAGAUUAGAUCGGAUGGAGGACCCCCUUACAACGAAUGGAGUCAUCCAUGUCGUAUGUGUCAGCCAAGUUAUCGACCAUAAAGGAGCUUUUGAUGGAAUUCGUUAAGGUAUUAUUAUUAUUCACGUGGAAUGUCUUAUUGUUUUUGUCUUAAUUAAAUAUUAGUUCUUACUUAUGUUUCUACUGCUUCCUUAAUAAGGUAGGAUUGUUGUUUCUUAGCCAUGCUAUAGUAAUGGUGGAAGGUACAUCCUUUAAUGCAUUGGAGGCUCAGACUUUGGUUGGCGACACAUUCGUGGAUGUUUCUGCUCUGAUCAUUGAUGACCAGCCGCUGACGAGGAGACGGGAACAUUUGUCUAUGACGAUCCUAGAAAUGGUAUCAUACUAAUUGAUGUACCAUCGAGGGGUGAGGAUCUGCCACCAUUGCCUCCCCAACCCAUGUUGGAGCCAAGGGAGGAGGACGACAAGAAAGAGAAGUAUACCAUGGAAAUUGCAUUCCCCAAUUUUGGAAAAAGGACAUAGGGCUAAGAGAAGAAAGAGGGUGCGCCCCUACAAUCCGGUGUGCAAGAUCCCCGUGAAGUUCGAUAAACAAUUUUCGGCAUACCUUGCGGAUCCUCAGAGAGAUAUAGAGAUAAGAAAGACAAUUAGAUCCUCAAGGGCGCUUUCGUGGUUCAUGGACUUCCUAACUUUGCAGACAUUCACGGACGACGACAUAAGUACUUCAAAUUUGAUACGUUCUCCAUUAUGUAUGUAAUCAUUUGAAACUAACUAGUUGCUUCUCACCGUUUCCAGACGAUCGACACAUUGUUCUUGUUAACCCAGACGAAGUUAUAGGUUAAUGUCGAUCCCUUGCACAUAAAGAAAUGAUUCACUACGACCGACCAUGCCAUUACGAAUUUUCUAAGGCAUAGUCCAGGUCUGUUCGAGGAGAUUAAGAAGGGCACUUGCCCGGUUGACAUUCAGUACACCUGGGGUAAAGACGCUACUUUAUUGAAAUAUGAUGAUCGAGUUACCGGAUUAUGACAAAACAUGGAUGGACGUCAGCUUCAUAUACAUGCCUUAUAAUAUUGAAGGAUGCCACUAAGUGUUGAUUGUGCUUGAAACGUCUGUGAUUCAUUCAUUGAUUUGACAUCGUAAGCAGACCUUAAUAAAGAACUAGACAACAUGAGGUGUGUUGUCCUGACUCUUGUUGCAAUGCUCUGGCGUGUUCACGGUGAAGCCAAAUCUACCUCUACCCCUAUGGCCGGUAUAUCAUGUGUGAUGCAACCUAACAAACAAAAUUGGGUAAAUGUGGGAUUUAUUGUUUAAAAAGUUUUGAAUAAGAUGUAACCCACUCCUCCUUCCUAACCCUAAACUCAAAAAAUAUCCCUAUUUCAUCAACAAAUGACAAUACAAUUGUCGGCCAAUAGAGCCUUCUUGUAAUUAAAAAUACAAUUAAUUGUUUUUUCA
Molecule: long non-coding RNA, 2836 nt
Organism: Cucumis melo (muskmelon)
Lineage: Eukaryota; Viridiplantae; Streptophyta; Magnoliopsida; Cucurbitales; Cucurbitaceae
Exons: 5
Source: RefSeq, a predicted model, not a curated record